CAGUAGCCGCGGUAAUCCGUAGGGGGCAAGCGUUAUCCGGAAUUACUGGGUGUAAAGGGAGCGUAGACGGUUAAACAAGUCUGAAGUGAAAUGCCGGGGCUCAACCCCGGAGCUGCUUUGGGAACUGUAGAACUGGAGUGUCGGAGGGGUAAGCGGAAUUCCCAGUGUAGCGGUGAAAUGCGUAGAUAUUGGGAGGAACACCGGCGGCGAAGGCGGCUUACUGGACGACAACUGACGUUGAGGCUCGAAGGCGUGGGUAGCAAACUGGAUUAGAUACCCCGGUAGUCCCUGUCUCUUAUAC
Molecule: ribosomal RNA, 301 nt
Filed under: uncultured bacterium
Lineage: Bacteria
Description: partial 16S ribosomal RNA
Rfam family: Bacterial small subunit ribosomal RNA
Source: RNAcentral